AACGAACGCUGGCGGCAGGCCUAACACAUGCAAGUCGAGCGCCCCGCAAGGGGAGCGGCGGCUGGGUGAGUAACGCGUGGGAAUAUGCUCUUUCCUACGUAAUAUUCCCGUGAAACUGGGGGUAAUACCGUAUACGCCCUUUGGUGGAAAGUUUUAUCUUCGAAGGAUUAGCCCGCGUUGGAUUGGGUAGUUUGUGGGGUAAUGGCCUACCAUGCCGACGAUGCAUAGCUGGUUUGAGAGUAUGAUCAGACACACUGGGCCUGAGACACAGCCCAGAAUCCUACGGGAGGCAGGAGUGGGGGAUCGUAGACAAUGGGGGCAACGCUGAUCGAGCCAUGCCGCGAGAGUGAUGAAGGCCUUAGGGUUGAAAAGCGCUUUCAGCUGGGAGGAUAAUGACGGUACCAGAAGAAGAAGCCCCGGCUAACUCCGUG
This 431-nucleotide ribosomal RNA is filed under the name uncultured bacterium. Its description in RNAcentral is "partial 16S ribosomal RNA". It matches the Rfam family "Bacterial small subunit ribosomal RNA", at positions 29 to 507 of the family's 1533-position model. The record is from RNAcentral.